AGCGAACGCUGGCGGCGUGCCUAACACAUGCAAGUCGAACGUGAAAGGGAGCAAUCCCAAGUAAAGUGGCGUACGGGUGAGUAACACGUAGGUAAUCUACCCCAGAAUCUGGAAUAACCGGCCGAAAGGCUGGCUAAUACUGGAUAGAGCGACGGAAUCCGUAAUUGGGUUUUUCGGGAAAGGGAGCCUGUAAAAAGGCCUUCGUUCUGGGAUGAGCCUGCGUCCCAUCAGCUAGUUGGUGAGGUAAAAGCUUACCAAGGCAAUGACGGGUAGCUGGUCUGGGAAGACGAUCAGCCACACUGGAACUGAAACACGGUCCAGACUCCUACGGGAGGCAGCAGUGGGGAAUCUUGCGCAAUGGACGGAAGUCUGACGCAGCAACGCCGCGGGGGGGAAGAAGGCCUUCGGGUUGUAAAGCUCUGUCGGGUGGGGCGAAAAUGCUUGGAGUUCACAGCUCCAGGAACUGACGGUACCACUAAAGGAAGCACCGGCUAACUCCGUG
Molecule: ribosomal RNA, 502 nt
Filed under: uncultured bacterium
Lineage: Bacteria
Description: partial 16S ribosomal RNA
Rfam family: Bacterial small subunit ribosomal RNA
Source: RNAcentral